AAUCAACGCUGGCGGCGUGCCUCAGACAUGCAAUUCGACCGAUUAAACUUCCCUUCGGGGGAAGAUAUAAAGUGGCGGACGGGGGAGUAACACGUAAGUCAUCUACCUUCUAGUGGGGAAUAACGUUCGGAAACGAACGCUAAUACCGCAUAAUGCAGCGGCAUCUUAGGAUGACAGUUGUUAAAGAAUUUAUUCGCUUGAAGAGGAGCUUGCGGCAGAUUAUUUUGUUGGUAAGGUAAUGGCUUACCAAGGCUACUAUCUGUAUCCGGGCGGGGGGGGCGGCCGGACACACUGACACUGAAUAACGGGUCAGACUCCUACGGGAGGCAGCAGUCGGGAAUUUUGGGCAAUGGGCGAAAGCCUGACCCAGCAACGCCGCGUGAAGGAUGAAGUCUUUCGGGAUGUAAACUUCGUAAGAAUAGGAAGAAUAAAUGACGGUACUAUUUGUAAGGUCCGGCUAACUACGUGCCACCACCCGCGGUAAUACGUAGGGACCAAGCGUUGUUCGGAUUUACUGGGCGUAUAGGGCGCGUAGGCGGCCGUGGUAAAGUCACCUGUGAAAUCUCCCAGCUUAACCUGGAACGGUCACCUGAUACUGAUGUGCUAGAGUGCAAAAGGGGCAAUCGGAAUCUUGGUGUAACGGUGAAAUGCGUAAAUAUCAAGAAGAACACCUGAGGU
RNAcentral lists this ribosomal RNA (678 nucleotides) under uncultured bacterium. Its description in RNAcentral is "bacterial SSU rRNA". It matches the Rfam family "Bacterial small subunit ribosomal RNA", at positions 28 to 716 of the family's 1533-position model. The record is from RNAcentral.